ACCGAGUGAGGGCCCUCUGGGUCCAACCUCCCACCCGUGUUUAUUUUACCUUGUUGCUUCGGCGGGCCCGCCUUAACUGGCCGCCGGGGGGCUUACGCCCCCGGGCCCGCGCCCGCCGAAGACACCCUCGAACUCUGUCUGAAGAUUGAAGUCUGAGUGAAAAUAUAAAUUAUUUAAAACUUUCAACAACGGAUCUCUUGGUUCCGGCAUCGAUGAAGAACGCAGCGAAAUGCGAUACGUAAUGUGAAUUGCAAAUUCAGUGAAUCAUCGAGUCUUUGAACGCACAUUGCGCCCCCUGGUAUUCCGGGGGGCAUGCCUGUCCGAGCGUCAUUGCUGCCCUCAAGCCCGGCUUGUGUGUUGGGCCCCGUCCCCCGAUCUCCGGGGGACGGGCCCGAAAGGCAGCGGCGGCACCGCGUCCGGUCCUCGAGCGUAUGGGGCUUUGUCACCCGCUCUGUAGGCCCGGCCGGCGCUUGCCGAUCAACCCAAAUUUUUAUCCAGGUUGACCUCGGAU
This 511-nucleotide ribosomal RNA is filed under the name Penicillium sp. FLS-2010. Its description in RNAcentral is "eukaryotic LSU rRNA". The stretch from base 178 to 330 matches the Rfam family "5.8S ribosomal RNA". The record is from RNAcentral. Lineage: Eukaryota; Fungi; Ascomycota; Eurotiomycetes; Eurotiales; Aspergillaceae.